AGUGAACGCUGGCGGUAUGCCUAACACAUGCAAGUCGAACGGCAGCACAGUAAGAGCUUGCUCUUACGGUUGGCGAGUGGCGGAUGGGUGAGGAAUACAUCGGAAUCUACUUUUUCGUGGGGGCUAACGUAGGGAAACUUACGCUAAUACCGCAUACGACCUACGGGUGAAAGCAGGGGAUCUUCGGACCUUGCGCGAUUGAAUGAGCCGAUGUCGGAUUAGCUAGUUGGCGGGGUAAAGGCCCACCAAGGCGGCGAUCCGUAGCUGGUCUGAGAGGAUGAUCAGCCACACUGGAACUGAGACACGGUCCAGACGCCUACGGGAGGCAGCAGUGGGGAAUAUUGGACAAUGGGCGCAAGCCUGAUCCAGCCAUACCGCGUGGGUGAAGAAGGCCUUCGGGUUGUAAAGACCUUUUGUUGGGAAAGAAAAGCAGCAGGUUAAUACCCAGCUGUUCUGACGGUACCCAAAGAAUAAGCACCGGCUAACUUCGUG
RNAcentral lists this ribosomal RNA (492 nucleotides) under uncultured bacterium. RNAcentral's name for it is "partial 16S ribosomal RNA". It matches the Rfam family "Bacterial small subunit ribosomal RNA", at positions 29 to 507 of the family's 1533-position model. The record is from RNAcentral.